RNAcentral lists this ribosomal RNA (119 nucleotides) under Pteropus alecto (black flying fox). The record is from RNAcentral. Lineage: Eukaryota; Metazoa; Chordata; Mammalia; Chiroptera; Pteropodidae.
GUCUAUGGCCAGGCCACCCUGAACGUGCCCGAUCUUGUCUGAUCUCAGAAGCUAAGCAGGGCCGGGCCUGGUUAGUACUUGAAUGGGAGACCACCUAGGAAUACCAGGUACUGUAGGCA